This 381-nucleotide unclassified non-coding RNA is filed under the name soil metagenome. Its description in RNAcentral is "partial contains 5.8S ribosomal RNA, internal transcribed spacer 2, and large subunit ribosomal RNA". The stretch from base 1 to 120 matches the Rfam family "5.8S ribosomal RNA", at positions 35 to 154 of the family's 154-position model. The record is from RNAcentral.
GAUGAAGAACGUAGCGAAAUGCGAUAAGUAAUGUGAAUUGCAGAAUUCAGUGAAUCAUCGAAUCUUUGAACGCACCUUGCGCUCCUUGGUAUUCCGAGGAGCAUGCCUGUUUGAGUGUCAUUAAUAUAUCAACCUCUUCAGCUUAUGCUUGUUGAGUGUUGGAUGGUGGGGGUUUGCUGGUGUCUUAUGAAGUCAGCUCCUCUGAAAUGCAUUAGCGGAACAAUUUGUUGACCGUUCAUUGGUGUGAUAAAAAUAUCUACGCUAUUGACGUCAGUCAGUUCAGCUUCUAACAGUCCAUUGACUUGGACAAAUUUUUCAUUAAUGUGACCUCAAAUCAGGUAGGACUACCCGCUGAACUUAAGCAUAUCAAUGAGCGGAGGA